GAAAUGCGAUAAGUAGUGUGAAUUGCAGAAUUCAGUGAAUCAUCGAAUCUUUGAACGCACAUUGCGCCCUAGGGUAUUCCUUAGGGCAUGCCUGUUCGAGCGUCAUUUCCACACUCAAGCUCUGCUUGGUGAUGGGCGCCUGUUCCACCUCGGUGCGGACUCGCCUCAAAUGCAUUGGCGGCCGGUUACAUUGGCUUCGAGCGCAGCACAUUUGCGAAACUCGGGUCACUUGUUUCUCUGGCAUCCAGAAGCCACUUCCACAAUUUGACCUCGGAUCAGGUAGGGAUACCCGCUGAACUUAA
This 302-nucleotide unclassified non-coding RNA is filed under the name uncultured Sporormia. Its description in RNAcentral is "sequence contains ITS1". The stretch from base 1 to 105 matches the Rfam family "5.8S ribosomal RNA", at positions 50 to 154 of the family's 154-position model. Lineage: Eukaryota; Fungi; Ascomycota; Dothideomycetes; Pleosporales; Sporormiaceae. The record is from RNAcentral.